RNAcentral lists this ribosomal RNA (253 nucleotides) under uncultured bacterium. RNAcentral describes it as "partial 16S ribosomal RNA". It matches the Rfam family "Bacterial small subunit ribosomal RNA", at positions 524 to 776 of the family's 1533-position model. The record is from RNAcentral.
UACGGGGGGAGCAAGCGUUGUUCGGAAUCACUGGGCGUAAAGGGAGUCUAGGCGGUUUGGUAAGUGGGAUGUGAAAUCCCCGGGCUCACCCCGGGACCUGCAUCCCAAACUGCUGAGCUUGAGUACAGGAGAGGGUGGGGGAAUUCCUGGUGUAGCGGUGAAAUGCGCAGAUAUCAGGAGGAACACCGAUGGCGAAGGCAGGUCUCUGGGCUGCUACUGACGCUGAGAAGCGAAAGCAUGGGGAGCGAACAGG